This 77-nucleotide transfer RNA is filed under the name Mycoplasmopsis bovis. Its description in RNAcentral is "Mycoplasma bovis tRNA-Glu". It matches the Rfam family "tRNA". From Rfam's summary of the family: Transfer RNA (tRNA) molecules are approximately 80 nucleotides in length. Lineage: Bacteria; Bacillati; Mycoplasmatota; Mycoplasmoidales; Metamycoplasmataceae. The record is from RNAcentral.
GGUCUGUUGGUGGAAGCGGUUAACACACAUGGUUUUCAUCCAUGCAUGCACGGGUUCGAUCCCCGUACAGACUACCA